Molecule: ribosomal RNA, 463 nt
Filed under: uncultured bacterium
Lineage: Bacteria
Description: partial 16S ribosomal RNA
Rfam family: Bacterial small subunit ribosomal RNA
Source: RNAcentral
GAUGAACGCUGACAGAAUGCUUAACACAUGCAAGUCUUUGGCGAAGCUGUGCUUGCACAGCCUAGCCAAGGCGGACGGGUGAGUAACGCGUAAGGAACUUGCCCUGCAGUCAGGGAUAACAGACGGAAACGACUGAUAAGACCUGGUAAAGUCAGGCGGACUCAUGUCCAGCCUGAUGAAAAGAGAUGCUGCAGGAGAGCCUUGCAUCCUAUUAGCUUGUUGGUGGGGUAACGGCCCACCAAGGCGAUGAUAGGUAGCCGGCCUGAGAGGGUGGACGGCCACAAGGGGACUGAGAUACGGCCCUUACUCCUACGGGAGGCAGCAGUGGGGAAUAUUGGACAAUGGGGGCAACCCUGAUCCAGCAAUUCUGUGUGCACGAUGAAGGUUUUCGGAUUGUAAAGUGCUUUCAGCAGGGAAGAAAAAAAUGACGGUACCUGCAGAAGAAGCGACGGCUAAAUACGUG